UGUGGGAGCGAGCCUGCUCGCGAAAGCGGUGGGUCAGCUUGCAUCCAUGUUGAUGUGCUGCCGCUAUCGCGAGCAGGCUCGCUCCCACA
This 89-nucleotide unclassified non-coding RNA is filed under the name Pseudomonas mediterranea. The record is from RNAcentral. Lineage: Bacteria; Pseudomonadati; Pseudomonadota; Gammaproteobacteria; Pseudomonadales; Pseudomonadaceae.